CUCCUCUCCGUGAUGAAACACUACGGAUGUAAAAGAGUCAAAGACUCGAACAGUCCGAGAGCGCAUAAACCUCGUGUGGACAUCUCCGUUGCCUUCCUUCUGAACUCAGUC
This 111-nucleotide small nucleolar RNA is filed under the name Auricularia subglabra TFB-10046 SS5. RNAcentral's name for it is "Small nucleolar RNA Z13/snr52". It matches the Rfam family "Small nucleolar RNA Z13/snr52". From Rfam's summary of the family: Z13 or snr52 is a member of the C/D class of snoRNA which contain the C (UGAUGA) and D (CUGA) box motifs. Most of the members of the box C/D family function in directing site-specific 2'-O-methylation of substrate RNAs. Lineage: Eukaryota; Fungi; Basidiomycota; Agaricomycetes; Auriculariales; Auriculariaceae. The record is from Rfam by way of RNAcentral.